GCGAAAAUACCCGCGUCUUUUGCCCACAACAAUCGGUUUGCAAGUCUUCUUGAAUGAGAGCAACUGGUGAAAAUGGACAUUCUAAAGCACGUACUGCCCAUGUACCACGAUUUUAGAUUAGAUACAAACUUGAAAUGAUCCCGUGAGUGAGCCAUUUUUGGCGACCAGUUAACUCAACAGGUUUUUGAACAAUCAUAACAUUAACAGACCAGGGGUGAGAGCUGGAGAUUGAUGCCUUGUGACACAGCCCUGGUGUUUGUGAAUAACCAUGACAACCGAAGAGGUCAUGGGGCAGUCGGGGCAUCCAUCCACCCGGUCUAGGAGCCUAGCAGGUGGGAGGUUUUCUCAAAAGGAUGCUGGAGAGAUUGCAUCUAGCAUACCAAUGAAACAGGGAGGAACGAGGAACACGGAGACGAGGAUGAACUUCAAAAUAGUCUUUAAUGUGACAUCAGGACAGGGCAAGACAAGGCAAGGCAGACACAGACAGGAACACCGGGGAAUAACGAGUAGACCAGACGAAAUCUAACUAAACAGGCAGGAACUAAAUACACAUGACAAUUAAUGAUAAUUAGACAAAACAUGGCUGGACACGACUUAACUAAUAAAUCACACUUAACAAGGACAGGAACAUGACCAAAUAUGGAAACAAGAGGCGGGAACACAUGACAGACACGACAGAGGACUGACAGUUUUCUUGUAAAUUAGGUUAUAUUUUCAUUUGAUUAAAUUAUA
Long non-coding RNA from Onychostoma macrolepis, 732 nucleotides. RefSeq lists it as uncharacterized. The transcript has 4 exons. NCBI's taxonomy places the organism in Eukaryota, Metazoa, Chordata, Actinopteri, Cypriniformes, Cyprinidae. The record is from RefSeq and is a predicted model, not a curated record.